CAAUAGCGUAUAUUAAAGUUGUUGCAGUUAAAAAGCUCGUAGUUGGAUUUCUGGGAGGGUGCCAAUGUCCGUCGUCGUACGUGUUGCAGCGGCGCCCUUCCAUCCUUCUGUUAACGACUUUGGGCAUUCAUUUGCCGGAGUCGGGCUCAGAUAUUUUACCUUGAGAAAAUUAGAGUGUUUCAGGCAGGCUAGGCCGGAAUACAUUAGCAUGGAAUAAUGGAAUAGGACUACGGUCUCUUUGUUGGUUUCGAACACCGGAGUAAUGAUUAAAAGGGGCAGUCAGGGGCACUCGUAUUCCGUCGAGAGAGGUGAAAUUCUCAGACCAAUGGAAGACGAACCACUGCGAAAGCAUUUGCCAGGGAUGUUUUCACUGAUCAAGAACGAAAGUUAGGGGAUCGAAGACGAUCAGAUACCAU
Molecule: ribosomal RNA, 416 nt
Filed under: uncultured eukaryote
Lineage: Eukaryota
Description: bacterial SSU rRNA
Rfam family: Eukaryotic small subunit ribosomal RNA
Source: RNAcentral